Molecule: ribosomal RNA, 687 nt
Filed under: Bacillus sp. CL3
Lineage: Bacteria; Bacillati; Bacillota; Bacilli; Caryophanales; Bacillaceae
Description: bacterial SSU rRNA
Rfam family: Bacterial small subunit ribosomal RNA
Source: RNAcentral
UUCACUAGUGAUUAGAGUUUGAUCCUGGCUCAGGAUGAACGCUGGCGGCGUGCCUAAUACAUGCAAGUCGAGCGAACUGAUUAGAAGCUUGCUUCUAUGACGUUAGCGGCGGACGGGUGAGUAACACGUGGGCAACCUGCCUGUAAGACUGGGAUAACUUCGGGAAACCGAAGCUAAUACCGGAUAGGAUCUUCUCCUUCAUGGGAGAUGAUUGAAAGAUGGUUUCGGCUAUCACUUACAGAUGGGCCCGCGGUGCAUUAGCUAGUUGGUGAGGUAACGGCUCACCAAGGCAACGAUGCAUAGCCGACCUGAGAGGGUGAUCGGCCACACUGGGACUGAGACACGGCCCAGACUCCUACGGGAGGCAGCAGUAGGGAAUCUUCCGCAAUGGACGAAAGUCUGACGGAGCAACGCCGCGUGAGUGAUGAAGGCUUUCGGGUCGUAAAACUCUGUUGUUAGGGAAGAACAAGUACAAGAGUAACUGCUUGUACCUUGACGGUACCUAACCAGAAAGCCACGGCUAACUACGUGCCAGCAGCCGCGGUAAUACGUAGGUGGCAAGCGUUAUCCGGAAUUAUUGGGCGUAAAGCGCGCGCAGGCGGUUUCUUAAGUCUGAUGUGAAAGCCCACGGCUCAACCGUGGAGGGUCAUUGGAAACUGGGGAACUUGAGUGCAGAAGAGAAAAGCG